This 304-nucleotide ribosomal RNA is filed under the name uncultured Prevotella sp. RNAcentral's name for it is "bacterial SSU rRNA". It matches the Rfam family "Bacterial small subunit ribosomal RNA", at positions 355 to 656 of the family's 1533-position model. The record is from RNAcentral. Lineage: Bacteria; Pseudomonadati; Bacteroidota; Bacteroidia; Bacteroidales; Prevotellaceae.
UGAGGAAUAUUGGUCAAUGGGCGAGAGCCUGAACCAGCCAAGUAGCGUGCAGGAUGACGGCCCUAUGGGUUGUAAACUGCUUUUAUAAGGGAAUAAAGUGGGUCACGUGUGACUUUUUGCAUGUACCUUAUGAAUAAGGACCGGCUAAUUCCGUGCCAGCAGCCGCGGUAAUACGGAAGGUCCGGGCGUUAUCCGGAUUUAUUGGGUUUAAAGGGAGCGUAGGCCGGAGAUUAAGCGUGUUGUGAAAUGUAGUGGCUCAACCUCUGCACUGCAGCGCGAACUGGGGGCUUGUAGUGACGCACAA